AUUGAACGCUGGCGGCAUGCCUUACACAUGCAAGUCGAACGGCAGCACGGGUACUUGCACCUGGUGGUGAUUGGCGAACGGGUGAGUAAUACAUCUGAACAUGUCCUGUAUUGGGCGAUAGCCAGGCCGAAGCCGGAUUAAUACCGCAUACGAACUCCGGAUGAAAGCGGGGGCCCUUCGGGCCUCGCGCUAUACGGUUGGCCGAUGCCUGAUUAGCUAGUUGGUGGGGUAAAGGCCUACCAAGGCGACGAUCAGUAGCUGGUCUGAGAGGAUGACCAGCCACACUGGGACUGAGACACGGCCCAGACUCCUACGGGAGGCAGCAGUGGGGAAUUUUGGACAAUGGGCGAAAGCCUGAUCCAGCAAUGCCGCGUGUGUGAAGAAGGCCUUCGGGUUGUAAAGCACUUUUGUCCGGAAAGAAAACCUUGGCACGAAUACGGUCGUGUGAUGACGGUACCGGAAGAAUAAGCACCGGCUAACUACGUG
This 486-nucleotide ribosomal RNA is filed under the name uncultured bacterium. RNAcentral's name for it is "partial 16S ribosomal RNA". It matches the Rfam family "Bacterial small subunit ribosomal RNA", at positions 30 to 507 of the family's 1533-position model. The record is from RNAcentral.